CCUACGUGAGGCAGCAGUGGGGAAUAUUGCGCAAUGGGCGAAAGCCUGACGCAGCGACGCCGCGUGAGGGCUGAAGGUCUUCGGAUCGUAAACCUCUGUCAGCAGGGAAGAACGGUCACUGUGCUAAUCAGCAGUGAAUUGACGGUACCUGCACAGGAAGCACCGGCUAACUCCGUGCCAGCAGCCGCGGUAAUACGGAGGGUGCGAGCGUUAAUCGGAAUUACUGGGCGUAAAGCGCUCGUAGGCGGUAUGUCAAGUCAAGGGUGAAAUCCCCGCGCUCAACGUGGGAACUGCCUUUGAAACUGGCAAACUGGAGUGUGUGAGAGGAUAGUGGAAUUCCAGGUGUAGGAGUGAAAUCCGUAGAUAUCUGGAGGAACAUCAGUGGCGAAGGCGACUAUCUGGCACAUAACUGACGCUGAGGAGCGAAAGCGUGGGUAGCAAACAGGAUUAGAUACCCUUGUAGUC
Molecule: ribosomal RNA, 465 nt
Filed under: uncultured bacterium
Lineage: Bacteria
Description: partial 16S ribosomal RNA
Rfam family: Bacterial small subunit ribosomal RNA
Source: RNAcentral